This is a non-coding RNA of Nitrospirae bacterium RBG_19FT_COMBO_58_9, 73 nucleotides long. Lineage: Bacteria; Pseudomonadati; Nitrospirota. The record is from Rfam.
UCCCCGGUAGCUCAGUUGGUAGAGCAGCCGGCUGUUAACCGGCUGGUCGCAGGUUCGAGUCCUGCCCGGGGAG